AAGGCGGGAAAAGGAAUAGAGAGUUCAUGAGGCUAAGGGACCACACAGUCCCCCUCGGGUGGAGACACUUUUCUUGAGGUUUUGAGUCCCUAUGGGAAUAUGAAGUUCUUUGCAACGAUGAUCCCAAGAACCUUCAAAAAGGAAAUUCAGCACAAAUAUUUGCCAUUGUGAGUUUACUACUGUGUGACUUUGAAUCUCCAAUUGCAAUACCUGUGUGCUUCUGGUGGUGGCCCAAUCUGCAAACUCACUCUUUUACUUUCUGCCUGAAGCUUUCCAUUUGGUUUUAGAGCUGCUCCC
Molecule: long non-coding RNA, 297 nt
Filed under: Phasianus colchicus (ring-necked pheasant)
Lineage: Eukaryota; Metazoa; Chordata; Aves; Galliformes; Phasianidae
Description: lncRNA (ENSPCLG00000020949.1)
Source: RNAcentral